Long non-coding RNA from Amphimedon queenslandica, 273 nucleotides. RefSeq lists it as uncharacterized. The record is from RefSeq and is a predicted model, not a curated record. Lineage: Eukaryota; Metazoa; Porifera; Demospongiae; Haplosclerida; Niphatidae. The transcript has 4 exons.
GGUAGACUAGUAGAGUAUAUACUGUUACUUCUAUCAGUUGUACUAGUAGUAUCUACAUUGACUGGAUCUACUAACAAUUACUACAAUGAACCUACUGGUAAUAAAGGAGUCACAGAUUGUUCUGCUACUAAGAAAAUUUUUGAAUUCUUUAAUGCAUCAUUAACUUCAUAUACAUUGAAAAGAGGAGACAGCAUACAAUUGCAUGCAGAUCUACAGAUUAAGAGGACCAUACAAGGGGGUAUACUGCAUGUCACAAUGACACAAAAAUUCAAG